Gavialis gangeticus (Gharial) is the source of this 791-nucleotide long non-coding RNA. RefSeq lists it as uncharacterized. The transcript is spliced from 3 exons. NCBI's taxonomy places the organism in Eukaryota, Metazoa, Chordata, Crocodylia, Gavialidae. The record is from RefSeq and is a predicted model, not a curated record.
UGAAAUAGAGGAAAAGGAGAUGCGGCUCUGGCUGAAAAAAGCACCGCAAGAAAGUAGGAGCGGUGGAGAAAGUCUGAGACAAAGGUGGGAUCUGGGCUGGCACCUGGAACACCUGGGCUGCACUGGGGCAUGGCUGGGAAGCCUGCAGAGGUCCAGCACUUGCCCAUGACCUUCAUCCAGGGCCCACCUGGGCUUUGUUUCCUCCUGGGGGCUGCCUAAGCUGUGCUGCAUGUGCAGGGCGCAGGGGCACUUGGCAGUGGACUGCCUUGUCCAAGUCUGCUCCCUGUGCAAAGCAAAAGGCCACAAGGCCCAGGCCUGUAAGGAGCUCUGGCGCUGCAACUUGUGCAGGGAAAAAGGACAUGUUUUUAAAGCCUGCCCCAAAUCCUUCGUCAACAUGUUGAAGAGCAAAGGGGUGACUACCGUGGUCCUGACCUCCAAAGCGGCAACAGGGAGCAAGGGGGCCAAGGAGAAAAAGGAAGAGCCCCUGAAGAGGGGGGCCCGGAAAGGAGGCCUGCGAGUCCAAUGGGAAUGGGAGGGGGUCGUCCCAGGAUGCGGAGCUCACCUGUGAGAGCAUCACCUUGGACGAAUCCUGCAAAAAGAGUAGGGGUCCCCAUCCACACCCUGCAGAGGCCACCAUGGACCGAGGGCAUGCACCAGGCCGUCUCGUGCACGCUGCUGGAGGGGGGCUCUGGGCCUCGGCAUCCCACCUGCAGACUGCUGAUGCCUAAGAGUCUCAGUGGAGCCUGUGUCCUGACAAGAUGUACUUGGACUCCGGGACUGGUGGUGUGGUC